GCACGUAGUUAGCCGUGGCUUAUUCUCCUGGUACUUUCAAUGCCCGGCGCACCGGUCUUUUAUCCCCAGAAAAAAGCAGUUUACAACCCAGAAGGCUUUCUUCCUGCACGCGGCAUGGCUGGAUCAGGCUUGCACCCAUUGUCCAAUAUUCCCUACUGCUGCCUCCCGUAGGAGUCUGGCCCGUAUCUCAGUGCCAGUGUGGGGGACCAACCUCUCAGUUCCCCUACUGAUCAUCGUCUUGGUGGGCCGUUACCCCGCCAACUAACUAAUCAGACGCAUGCUCAUCCGCAACCCCUUGUAGUUUAAUCACAAUCAGAUGCCCUCUCGUGAUCUUAUGGAGUCUUAUCUCAACUUUCGCUAAGCUAUCCUCCUGUUGCGGGCAGAUUGCAUACGUGUUACGCACCCUUACGCUACUCUAGGACUCGUAUUGCUACAAAUCUUACCGUUCAGCUUGCAUGUAUUAGGCCUGCCGCUAGCGUUCAUC
RNAcentral lists this ribosomal RNA (484 nucleotides) under uncultured bacterium. Its description in RNAcentral is "partial 16S rRNA". The record is from RNAcentral.